Molecule: long non-coding RNA, 991 nt
Organism: Etheostoma cragini (Arkansas darter)
Lineage: Eukaryota; Metazoa; Chordata; Actinopteri; Perciformes; Percidae
Exons: 2
Source: RefSeq, a predicted model, not a curated record
UAGAGUGAACCCAGGCCUUUUUUCCCCAAUAUAUUAAAGAAUCUGUUUCAACAUAAGAAGUCUUCAACAGGGAUCUCCAUCGUGUCUGGUUUUUACUCAAAAAGGAGACAAAUGUUGAGCUGAUAAGUAGAUAAUUCAUUUGCAUGGCUAUUUAAAUAAAAUUAAAAAAAUGUGAAUUAUUGAAAUGGGAAGAAAGGAACUCCUCUGUGAGAUCUACUUGUGUUUCUUGUCACCUAUAAAAAGCACAAAAAGGAGAUAUGUUGCGGCUCCGAUUAAGUUGUAAGAUGUUUUUCGGACAUGUUCUUACAAUAGGCAACAUUUUUAUUCGAGCCGAAAGUGUGUUGCAACUUAUUUUAUGUCUGAAUAGAAUCACAUUUUACAAGAAAGAAUCCUUCCUGGUGUGGUAAUCUAGUUUGGUAGCUAUUCUUUUUUUUGCUGUAGGAAAAUGUAAGAAAGACAGUGGGGAGGCUGCACAUACUGUAAGGCUGACUGAACUAACAAGACAGGGCUAUGGUAUGUUCACGUUCACGCUCAAGUCUAGUGAAAAGGUAAAGCUGUGAAAAUAUUCUAAAUAUAGUGUACACCUAAGGAGAUAUUUUGCAGAUUUCAAACCAGCUCUGUCAUGCCAGUAUGUGCAGAUGAACAACCUCAGUCUGUGACAGUUUUAGUCUCUUGUUAUUUCAUAGACGCAGAGAGAUACUUAUUUUGCAAUGGACUUAGAUGUCAUAAUUGGUGUACAUGGUUAUAAUAUAAUGGCUAUGAACCAAUCAGAUUGCUUCAUUUGAGCUACCCAAUUUAUAAAGUAUAAUACAGUGACUCAAUCUUUUUAUAGAUCAGUAUCCUUCUUAACAUGCCACAUACCUUAUCUGAAAUACCUCAAAAUUUGGAUAUCACUCAAGACUAGGUUUCCAAUUUGUGAAGAAUUUUCUACAUUUAUCCCUCCUUUGGCAUUGCCAACAGUCCUCACCUUGUAAAAGAGCGACAGCUGGCU